GACUACCGGGGUAUCUAAUCCCGUUCGCUCCCCACGCUUUCGCACCUGAGCGUCAGGCCAAGGCCAGGGUGCCGCUUUCGCCACUGGUAUUCCUCCCGAUCUCUACGCAUUCCACCACUACACCGGGAAUUCUACACCCCUCUCCUCGCCUCAAGCCGCCCAGUCUCCAACGACCUCUCCCAGUUAAGCCAGGAGCUUUCACGUCAGACUUAAGCAGCCACCUGCGUGCGCUUUACGCCCAGUAAUUCCGGAUAACGCUUGCCACCUACGUAUUACCGCGGCUGCUGGCACGUAGUUAGCCGUGACUUAUUCCCCAGGUACCGUCCUCGCUCUUCCCUGAGAAAAGGAGUUUACAAUCCGAAAACCGUCAUCCUCCACGCGGCGUUGCUCGGUCAGGGUUGCCCCCAUUGCCGAAUAUUCCUCACUGCUGCCCCCCGUAGG
RNAcentral lists this ribosomal RNA (441 nucleotides) under uncultured Caldilinea sp. RNAcentral's name for it is "partial 16S ribosomal RNA". Lineage: Bacteria; Bacillati; Chloroflexota; Caldilineae; Caldilineales; Caldilineaceae. The record is from RNAcentral.